GAUGAACGCUGGCGGCGUGCCUAAUACAUGCAAGUCGAGCGAACAGACGAGGAGCUUGCUCCUCUGACGUUAGCGGCGGACGGGUGAGUAACACGUGGAUAACCUACCUAUAAGACUGGGAUAACUUCGGGAAACCGGAGCUAAUACCGGACAAUAUAUUUAACCGCAUGGUUCAAUAGUGAAAGACGGUUUUGCUGUCACUUAUAGAUGGAUCCGCGCCGCAUUAGCUAGUUGGUAAGGUAACGGCUUACCAAGGCAACGAUGCGUACCCGACCUGAGAGGGUGACCGGCCAAACUGGAACGGAGAAACGGUCCAGCCUCCUACGGGAGGAAGCAGUAGGGAAUCUUCCGAAAUGGGCGAAAGCCUGCCGGAGCAACGCCGCGUGAGUGAUGAAGGUUUUCGGAUCGUAAACUUCUGUUAUUAGGGAAGAACAAAUGUGUAAGUAACUAUGCACGUCUUGACGGUACCUAAUCAGAAAGCCACGGCUAACUACGUG
RNAcentral lists this ribosomal RNA (497 nucleotides) under uncultured bacterium. RNAcentral's name for it is "partial 16S ribosomal RNA". It matches the Rfam family "Bacterial small subunit ribosomal RNA", at positions 28 to 507 of the family's 1533-position model. The record is from RNAcentral.